UGUUUCGGCAAGGGGGUCAUCCCGACUUACCAACCCGAUGCAAACUGCGAAUACCGGAGAAUGUUAUCACGGGAGACACACGGCGGGUGCUAACGUCCGUCGUGAAGAGGGAAACAACCCAGACCGCCAGCUAAGGUCCCAAAGUCAUGGUUAAGUGGGAAACGAUGUGGGAAGGCCCAGACAGCCAGGAUGUUGGCUUAGAAGCAGCCAUCAUUUAAAGAAAGCGUAAUAGCUCACUGGUCGAGUCGGCCUGCGCGGAAGAUGUAACGGGGCUAAACCAUGCACCGAAGCUGCGGCAGCGACGCUUAUGCGUUGUUGGGUAGGGGAGCGUUCUGUAAGCCUGUGAAGGUGUGCUGUGAGGCAUGCUGGAGGUAUCAGAAGUGCGAAUGCUGACAUAAGUAACGAUAAAGCGGGUGAAAAGCCCGCUCGCCGGAAGACCAAGGGUUCCUGUCCAACGUUAAUCGGGGCAGGGUGAGUCGACCCCUAAGGCGAGGCCGAAAGGCGUAGUCGAUGGGAAACAGGUUAAUAUUCCUGUACUUGGUGUUACUGCGAAGGGGGGACGGAGAAGGCUAUGUUGGCCGGGCGACGGUUGUCCCGGUUUAAGCGUGUAGGCUGGUUUUCCAGGCAAAUCCGGAAAAUCAAGGCUGAGGCGUGAUGACGAGGCACUACGGUGCUGAAGCAACAAAUGCCCUGCUUCCAGGAAAAGCCUCUAAGCAUCAGGUAACAUCAAAUCGUACCCCAAACCGACACAGGUGGUCAGGUAGAGAAUACCAAGGCGCUUGAGAGAACUCGGGUGAAGGAACUAGGCAAAAUGGUGCCGUAACUUCGGGAGAAGGCACGCUGAUAUGUAGGUGAAGUCCCUCGCGG
RNAcentral lists this ribosomal RNA (867 nucleotides) under Escherichia coli. RNAcentral describes it as "partial 23S ribosomal RNA". It matches the Rfam family "Bacterial large subunit ribosomal RNA", at positions 911 to 1776 of the family's 2925-position model. Lineage: Bacteria; Pseudomonadati; Pseudomonadota; Gammaproteobacteria; Enterobacterales; Enterobacteriaceae. The record is from RNAcentral.